GAUGAAGAACGCAGCGAAAUGCGAUACGUAAUGUGUAUUGCAGAAUUCAGUGAAUCAUCGAGUCUUUGAACGCACAUUGCGCCCCCUGGUAUUCCGGGGGGCAUGCCUGUCCGAGCGUCAUUGCUGCCCUCAAGCACGGCUUGUGUGUUGGGCCUCCGUCCUCCUCCCGGGGGACGGGCCCGAAAGGCAGCGGCGGCACCGCGUCCGGUCCUCGAGCGUAUGGGGCUUCGUCACCCGCUCUUGUAGGCCCGGCCGGCGCUUGCCGACACAUCAAUCUUUUUUCCAGGUUGACCUCGGAUCAGGUAGGGAUACCCGCUGAACUUAAGCAUAUCAAUAAGCGGAGGA
RNAcentral lists this unclassified non-coding RNA (345 nucleotides) under soil metagenome. Its description in RNAcentral is "partial contains 5.8S ribosomal RNA, internal transcribed spacer 2, and large subunit ribosomal RNA". The stretch from base 1 to 120 matches the Rfam family "5.8S ribosomal RNA", at positions 35 to 154 of the family's 154-position model. The record is from RNAcentral.